This 74-nucleotide transfer RNA is filed under the name Planctomycetota bacterium. Its description in RNAcentral is "Planctomycetes bacterium tRNA-Pro". It matches the Rfam family "tRNA". From Rfam's summary of the family: Transfer RNA (tRNA) molecules are approximately 80 nucleotides in length. Their secondary structure includes four short double-helical elements and three loops (D, anti-codon, and T loops). Lineage: Bacteria; Pseudomonadati; Planctomycetota. The record is from RNAcentral.
CGGGGAGUAGCUUAGCCUGGUAAAGCGUCGGCUUUGGGAGCCGAAGAUCGCUGGUUCGAAUCCAGUUUCCCCGA